GACGAACGCUGGCGGCGUGCUUAACACAUGCAAGUCGAACGGAAAGGCCCUGCUUUUGUGGGGUGCUCGAGUGGCGAACGGGUGAGUAACACGUGAGUAACCUGCCCUUGACUUUGGGAUAACUUCAGGAAACUGGGGCUAAUACCGGAUAGGAGCUCCUGCUGCAUGGUGUGGGUUGGAAAGUUUCGGCGGUUGGGGAUGGACUCGCGGCUUAUCAGCUUGUUGGUGGGGUAGUGGCUUACCAAGGCUUUGACGGGUAGCCGGCCUGAGAGGGUGACCGGCCAAAUUGGGACUGAGAUACGGACCAGACUCCAACGGGAGGCAGCAGUGGGGAAUAUUGCACAAUGGGCGGAAGCCUGAUGCAGCAAAGCCGCGUGCGGGAUGACGGCCUUCGGGUUGUAAACAGCUUUCGCCUGUGACGAAGAGUGAGUGACGGUAAUGGGUAAAGAAGCACCGGCUAACUACGUG
This 468-nucleotide ribosomal RNA is filed under the name uncultured bacterium. RNAcentral describes it as "partial 16S ribosomal RNA". It matches the Rfam family "Bacterial small subunit ribosomal RNA", at positions 28 to 507 of the family's 1533-position model. The record is from RNAcentral.